CUUUUCUCCCCGGUCUUCACCCAAAGCCAGCCAAGAUACAAAAUCUAUUCCAAACAGCGCCGUUAGCGUCCAAGCAGCGUACCAGAAGAAAGCGAUCUUUACAGUCUUCCUUCGGGCGCAAAGGUGGAGACUCGGGAAAGAGGAAAGUCUCAGCGCGUUCCCAAACCCCCAGUUUUGCGCACCGGGAAAGUACUUGCUGCAAACUUGAACAAGGUUUUCUCUGUCUGGCCUGAGAUGCUGGAGGAGGAGGGGGGGUAACCCGAGCCGGGGCCGGGAUUCGAGCAGUUGCCUCUGUUGCAGCUGCUACUGCCGGGGCAGUGGCCGCUGGGGGGUUGUCGCUUGGCGCCGCGCGCAGUCCCUAGCGCAACUCACAGGAUCUUCCUGGCCCGACUCAGCCACCUCGAUAGUGAGUCGCCCCUGUCUGAGCGGCUGCCACUGCCUGGGGGGGUGACCCCGCCAAAGGCCUAGUCGGGAAGUUAGCAAAUGUUGGGGUCACCUCAGGGAGUGACCGAAGAGGUGGCAGAGUGGGUGUCCGCCUGAGUCCCAACCCACGAUGGGUGCGAGUUCCUCGUCAGAGUCCCUGAGAGGUGUUCUAGACCCUCUGUAAAGAUUUGUGGGACCGGGGCCGGGGCCCGAGCGGCCAACUGGAGUGGACGGCGCGUCCUCAGUGGUGUCAGGGGAGAAAGCGCAAAGGAAUAAAAUUAUUAAUACAGUAACUGUGUGUUUAACGAUACAGAGACGAACUGAUUUCCAAAGUGGAAAACAUUUUACAUUCUCACCAGCAAGAUAUGAGAAUUGCUUCACAUCCUCAUCAACACUGGGUAGUUUCUGUCUUCUUUUUUUGGCAUUCUAAAGAAAACUAAGGAACUCAAGAGGAGUCAUCAGAAUUCCUGCCAUGUGGGAGACAUCAACCCCACUGGUGACUUUUUUUUCUGCUCCACAUAUUAGAGCAUGUAUUUGGAUUACUUAGACCAAGCCAGGACAAUGAGAUUCAGUACUGAAACUUCUAUUCAAACUUAGAAAGAGAAUCUCUUUUCCAUGGGAUUGAAGCUGGAGUUCCUGAGAAGCUGCCUGAUGGAGACUGUAACAAAGAGGAAAGCAGAACUAAGACAUAGAGAGAAGGAAUUUCACUUUAUCCUGUAGAUCCAACCAUGCCUGCAGCUGAGCUUGUUCACUGGACUUGCCAGUGGACUUGCACGAGAUUAAAGGGAAAUGCUGGGGCAACUGGAUAGCCACAUCCAAAAAAUGAAGUUGGACCUCUACCUUACAUCAUACACAAAAAUUAACUCUAAAUGGAUCUAAGACCUAAUUGUACCUACUAAUCUGUAAAAUUCUUAGAAGACAACAUAGAGAGUAAAUCUUCAUAAUUUCAGAUUUGGCAACGGAUUUUUAGACAUGAUACCCCAAGCACAUGCAGCAAAAAAAAUUGGAUUAUUAGGCUUCAUCAAAAUUAAAAACUCUCAUAUAGCAAAGGGCUUUA
Molecule: long non-coding RNA, 1480 nt
Organism: Cebus imitator (Panamanian white-faced capuchin)
Lineage: Eukaryota; Metazoa; Chordata; Mammalia; Primates; Cebidae
Exons: 5
Source: RefSeq, a predicted model, not a curated record